GGCGGCUCAAAUAGAUGGAUCGUGGAGUGACGUGGAUGUUCAUGAGGUAAUACACAAUACGACUCUGAAUGUGAUCCUGGACCCGGUUUACGAGGUACCUGGAUCCCACGUUAAAGAUCUUAAUGAAGGAGAGGUGCCUACAAAACAGAGGGGAGGAACUCAGACAGGAGGCUAUUGGAUAUACACCUGCCUAAUAUGCAGUUGGUCCUUUCGCAUACUGCCAGAACAGCGCCAACCCUCCAAGUCAUGGACUCUACAAGACCCCUGAAGGUCCUGUGGUAUCUGGCACCAAGAUGUUAGCAGCAGAUCCUUCAAGUCCUGUAGGUUGCGAGGCGGAGCCACCGUGGAUCAAACUUGUUGGUCCAGCACAUCCCACAGAUCCUCAAUUGGAUUGAGAUUUGGGGAAUUUGGAGGCCAGGGCAACACCUUGAUACUCUGACCCAGAUCCUUGUCUAAGUUGUUCAGAUCUUUAUUACUACCCAUUUCUCCUGCAUCAAACACAUUGAUUAUAAGAACUGAUUGUUUGCUUACCAUCUAAUCUACUCCGAAUCUGACCCCAAAGACCACAUUAGGUUUCACUUCACCUGUGACAGGUCAUAAUGUUUUAGCUCAUCAAUGUAUACCAGUAUUUCCACCAAUUUUGCAUUUUGAUUAAUUUUUUUAAACUGAAUAGAAUUUUAAUAUCACUCUAGCAUGACUUGUCAUCUUGUCAGUAUCUGCUAAGAUUUUAAUAUAGGUGCAUCCCUAUUGGUGUAUCCAAAAUGGCCAUUAUUCAUAUUCAUGCAUUUUAUUCAUAUUUCAUGUUAAUCAUUUGAUUUAUCAAUAUUAUCUUUAAUUUCAUAUAUCCAUGUAAUCCUACUCCAUAUAUUAAUCUUCAUCAUGUAUUCAAGUAUUUACUACACAUUUAUGCUUAUUUUUCAUUAUAUUUUUGUUUGAAGAGUA
This is a long non-coding RNA of Ctenopharyngodon idella (grass carp), 942 nucleotides long. RefSeq lists it as uncharacterized. The record is from RefSeq and is a predicted model, not a curated record. The transcript is spliced from 2 exons. NCBI's taxonomy places the organism in Eukaryota, Metazoa, Chordata, Actinopteri, Cypriniformes, Xenocyprididae.